RNAcentral lists this unclassified non-coding RNA (263 nucleotides) under plant metagenome. RNAcentral's name for it is "partial contains small subunit ribosomal RNA, internal transcribed spacer 1, and 5.8S ribosomal RNA". The record is from RNAcentral.
UCUCCGUAGGUGAACCUGCGGAAGGAUCAUUAUUGUAUAACCGAGGUGCGAGGGCUGUCGCUGACCCGAAAGGUCGUGCACGCCCGAGUGCCCUCACACACAUCCAUCUCACCCCUAUGUGCACCACCGCGUGAGUCCCCCUUUGGCUUGUUCGGAGGGGGGCUUACGUUUUCACACAAACUUUGUAUGCAGUGUAGAAUGUAUUUUUUGUUUUUGCGAUCACGCAAUCAAUACAACUUUCAACAACGGAUCUCUUGGCUCUC